UACGGAGGGUGCAAGCGUUGUUCGGAAUUAUUGGGCGUAAAGAGCGUGUAGGCGGCCUAGUAAGUCAGAUGUGAAAUCCCUUGGCUUAACCAAGGAAGGGCAUUUGAAACUGCUUGGCUUGAGUACGGGAGGGGGAAGUGGAAUUCCCGGUGUAGAGGUGAAAUUCGUAGAUAUCGGGAGGAACAUCAGUGGCGAAGGCGGCUUCCUGGAUCGAUACUGACGCUGAGACGCGAAAGCGUGGGGAGCAAACAGG
RNAcentral lists this ribosomal RNA (253 nucleotides) under uncultured bacterium. Its description in RNAcentral is "partial 16S ribosomal RNA". It matches the Rfam family "Bacterial small subunit ribosomal RNA", at positions 524 to 776 of the family's 1533-position model. The record is from RNAcentral.